This 1764-nucleotide unclassified non-coding RNA is filed under the name Hevea brasiliensis (rubber tree). The record is from RNAcentral. Lineage: Eukaryota; Viridiplantae; Streptophyta; Magnoliopsida; Malpighiales; Euphorbiaceae.
CCCAAAUUCUCUCCGCUCAAAAUUCUUCCCUUCGACAAGCGUUAAAACCAGAAAAACAAAUCACAAUCAAUUAAUCGCUACGACGUCGGCACCGAUCGAUCUCAGAAAAUGGCUACGUUUGAGCUUUACAGAAGAUCAACGAUCGGUAUGUGCUUGACGGAGACCCUGGAUGAGAUGGUUCAAAGUGGUACUCUCAGCCCAGAGCUAGCUAUCCAGGUUCUUGUUCAGUUUGACAAGUCUAUGACUGAAGCUUUGGAAAGUCAAGUUAAGAGCAAAGUUACCAUUAAGGUAAUUUCUUUAGUUUUGUUAUAUUUUUGGGCUAUAUAUUCCUUGUUCGUUUAUGCGAGGAUUACUUGGAAUUUUGAAUUGUGAGAUUAUGCAAUUAAUUUAUUUUUAGUGGUUUUGUUAAAAAAAAAAAAUCUGAAUCAUUUGGCUUGCAAUAUUAAAAAGUCAAAACUCUCAACGCCACAUACUCGUCUGGUAAAAUUAAUUUUAAAAAAUUCCUUUAGUCAGUUACCAUGGAUAUUCUAAGUUCACAAGAGAAACUUUUAGUUUUAAUCUCAAACUGGAAAUAUCCAUAUCAAUAUUUCAUAUGGAUGUAUGUAGGAUUCACAAAAACAGAAUUCAAUUGAAUGUGGCAAGGUUUCUUUUUCCUGUUCUGAAAUUCUAUUAUCAAUUCUAUUGUCCUCCUUGAGUUUACAGUAGUUUUUAGUGCGUCUUCAUCUGCAUAUGAUUCUUUAUUGCCUUGUACUCACUACUAAUCAAAUUGUGGUUGUGUGUCUCUGUGUGUGUGUUUUAGUGUAUGUGUUAAUUUCAGUAAAUGUUUGAAGUAUAUGCAGCUAACUCAUCUAAGUUUUACAGUUUCUCACUCUGAAAAGCAUUGUGCAUAUGCUAAAUUGUGGAGGAAUUCUUGUUGCCCUAUAGACUGUGGACCUUGUAGGAGCAUCAAAACAAUGUUGAAUGUAUAUACUUUAGUGAUUUGGAUAAAGUGAAGUGAUAGAACAUUAAGUGAGGCUGUGCAGCUGGGAGAAAAAAAAUGAUUUGUUGUGUGCCACUUGGACAGUUUAAUUAUUUGGGAGGGAUCUCUCUGUUUUCUUUUGCCCCAGGGCGGCCCGCUGGGGAUAUGUAUCUAUUAUCAAAGUUUAGUUGCUUUGCAUGAGCAUGGCAUCCGGAAAGGCUGAUACAUUGUGAUUGUAUGUGCUACAGGGACAUUUGCACACCUACAGAUUCUGCGACAAUGUUUGGACUUUCAUUCUACAGGAUGCAGUGUUUAAGAAUGAAGAUUCAGUGGAGAAUGUUGGUCGGGUUAAAAUAGUGGCUUGUGACUCAAAGCUACUCACGCAAUGAAGUUUUAGGAAUCCAUUUGUCUUGUGGUAGUAGAGGUGGAUGGCAGCAAGGAAGAAACCUGAGUUUUAGCUACCAUGGAAGAUUGAAUAUUAGUUAUAUAGCUAUCAGCCUUCGUAACUAUUUUUAUUUGAUGAUAUCAUGAUACAUUUGAUGAUGGUGCAUCCAGUGAUCAAUGUAGGAUGAUUAAUGUUAUCCUUCUUUGUUCAUUUUAUUCCUUGUCUUGAGAACAUGAAACACUUACGGAGAUGGACACAACUUAGUGAUAAAAUCUUGAAAACCACGAAUUAUACAAUGUUGUGCACAUUCUGACAUGCUAAUAGUUUGUAUGCACACCCUUGUAUUGAUUUGCGGAUGUCAGUGUAUGGAAGCAACAUUUCCCUGGAGAUUUUUCAGGCAGGUAUCUGUAUUACAUGAAAU